GAAGAAGAACGUAGUGAACGUGCGAAACGUAAUGUGAAUUGCAGAAUUCAGUGAAUCAUCGAAUCUUUGAACGCAUCUUGCGCUCCUUGGUAUUCCGAGGAGCAUGCCUGUUUGAGUGUCGUGAAUACUCUCAACUUCAACCCUUUUUUCGGAAAGGGAGGAAGGUUGGACUUGGGUGUUUGUUGAAGUGCGAGCUUCGACUCAUCCUAAAUGCAUUAGCGAUCUGCCUCGAUCACACACAAUGUGAUAAUUAAAACUAAAGCAUUGUUUAAUGAUCAAGUCGAGACUGCUUCUAACUGUCGCAAGACAAUAACGUGCAUACAUUUGUGCAUGUCAUUUGACCUCAAAUCAGGUAGGACUACCCGCUGAACUUAAGCAUAUCAAUAAGCGGAGGA
This 395-nucleotide unclassified non-coding RNA is filed under the name soil metagenome. RNAcentral describes it as "partial contains 5.8S ribosomal RNA, internal transcribed spacer 2, and large subunit ribosomal RNA". The stretch from base 1 to 121 matches the Rfam family "5.8S ribosomal RNA", at positions 35 to 154 of the family's 154-position model. The record is from RNAcentral.